UGUUCUUUAAAAUAUCGACUUUAGUAACCGGCUAGUGUUUCGAUUACUUCUGCUAUUCGGAAAUCGGUAUCAUUGGGUCUGUUCUUCGCGCGCCAGACUAUACUGGGUUUCCAACGAGGCAAGCGUGGGAUGCAAAGUGUGAAAUCUGAGGUCGAGGUCGUGUGAUUUGUUUGUGUUCAAGAUUGUGCUGCAGAACGGCUCAACAUCUCUAAAGACAUCUACCCCUCAACAAUUAGAUGUCCAAGACACGACUAUGGUAGAAAAGCUGCUCGUUCCAGUAAAUGUGUUACAGUGAGGCUUAGCAUCUCCAAUGACAUGUACCCGUGUCAACAUGUAGACGUCCAAGACCAACCUAUAAUAAAGCGCACUCUCAAGUUGAACUCAGGCUUUAGCAUCUCCAAACACAUCUACCCAUCACCAACUAGAUUUCUGAGACUGGUCUAUCAUGAUAGAGGAGCUGCUCUUUCUAGUGAACCUUCUAAGGAGCAAAAUGUUUUGUGUUCACACCCUGUCCCAAGAAGCUGAAUGCACCCUCAUUAAAGAGUCAGAGGUUUAGCUAGUGGUUCCCUGAAAUCAAGUGCAGAUGGAAUGAGCACUACUGACACCUAGUAAAGGCUACAGGAAAAAGAGGGCAACGCGUAUGAAUACAAUGUUAUCAUCAAGACAUCUUAGCUGUUCAUCAAGCAAUCAUGACUGAACAACCAAGCAGUUUGUUGCCUUCAAAAAGACAGCGAUGUAAGGAAUAUUUUCCUGAAAAGAAGUGUCCAGAAUGGAAUCACCACUGCUGAUGUCAUCAAGGAUACUUGGUAUAAGGGAGAGAUGCGUAUAAAACAUCGCUAUCGUCGAGGUGUGUUAGCUGCAAGCAAUCAUGGAUGUAAAAAUCAGUUUAUUGGCUGCAACAUUAAGGUAUUAUAAAUGUGUUUUUAUGAACUGAAUAAGCUACAAUGUAUUCAGAACACUGUCGCUCGC
Long non-coding RNA from Asterias rubens (European starfish), 969 nucleotides. RefSeq lists it as uncharacterized. The record is from RefSeq and is a predicted model, not a curated record. The transcript is spliced from 6 exons. NCBI's taxonomy places the organism in Eukaryota, Metazoa, Echinodermata, Asteroidea, Forcipulatida, Asteriidae.